AGUAACAACCAUUUGAGUCUGGGAUUUCUGAAUGGGGAAACCCACUUACAUAAGUAAGUAUCAUUAACUGAAUACAUAGGUUAAUGAGGCGAACCGGGGGAACUGAAACAUCUAAGUACCCCGAGGAAAAGAAAUCAACCGAGAUUCCGAAAGUAGCGGCGAGCGAAAUUGGACUAGCCCUUAAGCUUUAUAUGCGUUAGACGAACGGUCUGGAAAGUCCGGCGAUACAGGGUGAUAGCCCCGUAGUUGACAACGCACAUUCAGUGAAAUCGAGUAGGGCGGGACACGUGAUAUCCUGUCUGAA
This 304-nucleotide ribosomal RNA is filed under the name Vibrio parahaemolyticus. RNAcentral's name for it is "partial 23S ribosomal RNA". It matches the Rfam family "Bacterial large subunit ribosomal RNA", at positions 87 to 442 of the family's 2925-position model. The record is from RNAcentral. Lineage: Bacteria; Pseudomonadati; Pseudomonadota; Gammaproteobacteria; Vibrionales; Vibrionaceae.